Molecule: ribosomal RNA, 460 nt
Filed under: uncultured bacterium
Lineage: Bacteria
Description: partial 16S ribosomal RNA
Rfam family: Bacterial small subunit ribosomal RNA
Source: RNAcentral
CCUACGGGAGGCAGCAGUGAGGAAUAUUGGUCAAUGGGCGCGAGCCUGAACCAGCCAAGUAGCGUGAAGGAUGACUGCCCUACGGGUUGUAAACUUCUUUUAUAAAGGAAUAAAGUGAGGCACGUGUGCCUUUAUGUAUGUACUUUAUGAAUAAGAAUCGGCUAACUCCGUGCCAGCAGCCGCGGUAAUACGGAGGAUCCAAGCGUUAUCCGGAUUUAUUGGGUUUAAAGGGCGCGUAGAUGGGUUGUUAAGUCAGUUGUGAAAGUUUGCGGCUCAACCGUAAAAUUGCAAUUGAUACUGGCAGUCUUGAGUACAGUUGAGGUAGGCGGAAUUCGUGGUGUAGCGGUGAAAUGCUUAGAUAUCACGAAGAACUCCGAUUGCGAAGGCAGCUUACUAAACUGCCACUGACAUUGAUGCUCGAAAGUGUGGGUAUCAAACAGGAUUAGAUACCCGUGUAGUC